Molecule: ribosomal RNA, 303 nt
Filed under: uncultured bacterium
Lineage: Bacteria
Description: partial 16S ribosomal RNA
Rfam family: Bacterial small subunit ribosomal RNA
Source: RNAcentral
AGCAGUAGCCGCGGUAAAACGGAGGGUGCAAGCGUUAAUCGGAAUUACUGGGCGUAAAGCGUGCGUAGGCGGUUCGUUAAGUCUGUUGUGAAAGCCCCGGGCUCAACCUGGGAAUGGCAAUGGAUACUGGCGAGCUAGAGUGUGUCAGAGGAAGGUGGAAUUCCCGGUGUAGCGGUGAAAUGCGUAGAGAUCGGGAGGAACAUCAGUGGCGAAGGCGGCCAUCUGGGACAACACUGACGCUGAGGCACGAAAGCGUGGGGAGCAAACAGGAUUAGAUACCCGAGUAGUCCCUGUCUCUUAUAC